CGGACGGGUGAGGAAUACGUAGGAAUCUGCCCUUAAGUGGGGGAUAACCCGGGGAAACCCGGAUUAAUACCGCAUGAUCUCGAAAGAGCAAAGCAGGGGACCGCAAGGCCUUGCGCUUUUGGAGGAGCCUACGUCGGAUUAGCUAGUUGGUGAGGUAACGGCUCACCAAGGCGACGAUCCGUAACUGGUCUGAGAGGAUGAUCAGUCACACCGGAACUGAGACACGGUCCGGACUCCUACGGGAGGCAGCAGUGGGGAAUAUUGGACAAUGGGCGCAAGCCUGAUCCAGCAAUGCCGCGUGAGUGAAGAAGGCCUUCGGGUUGUAAAGCUCUUUCAGUUGAGAAGAAAAGAUUGUAACUAAUAAUUGCAAUCCAGACGGUUCGACAGAAGAAGCACGGCUAAUACGUC
RNAcentral lists this ribosomal RNA (408 nucleotides) under uncultured bacterium. Its description in RNAcentral is "bacterial SSU rRNA". It matches the Rfam family "Bacterial small subunit ribosomal RNA", at positions 99 to 507 of the family's 1533-position model. The record is from RNAcentral.